AGCGAACGCUGGCGGCAGGCCUAACACAUGCCAGUCGAACGAACCUUUCGGGGUUAGUGGCGGACGGGUGAGUAACACGUGGGAACGUGCCUUUAGGUUCGGAAUAACUCAGGGAAACUUGUGCUAAUACCGAAUGUGCCCUUCGGGGGAAAGAUUAAUCGCCUUUAGAGCGGCCCGCGUCUGAUUAGCUAAUUGGUUGAGGUAAUGGCUCACCAAGGCGACGAUCAGUAGCUGGUCUGAGAGGAUGAUCAGCCACAUUGGGACUGAGACACGGCCCAAACUCCUACGGGAGGCAGCAGUGGGGAAUCUUGCGCAAUGGGCGAAAGCCUGACGCAGCCAUGCCGCGUGAAUGAUGAAGGUCUUAGGAUUGUAAAAUUCUUUCACCGGGGACGAUAAUGACGGUACCCGGAGAAGAAGCCCCGGCUAACUUCGUG
Molecule: ribosomal RNA, 434 nt
Filed under: uncultured bacterium
Lineage: Bacteria
Description: partial 16S ribosomal RNA
Rfam family: Bacterial small subunit ribosomal RNA
Source: RNAcentral